Molecule: ribosomal RNA, 1138 nt
Filed under: marine metagenome
Description: bacterial SSU rRNA
Rfam family: Bacterial small subunit ribosomal RNA
Source: RNAcentral
UCAGCCACAUUGGGACUGAGACACGGCCCAAACUCCUACGGGAGGCAGCAGUAGGGAAUCUUGCACAAUGGGGGAAACCCUGAUGCAGCGAUGCCGCGUGAGUGAAGAAGGCCUUUGGGUUGUAAAGCUCUUUCGUCGGGGAAGAAAAUGACUGUACCCGAAUAAGAAGGUCCGGCUAACUUCGUGCCAGCAGCCGCGGUAAUACGAAGGGACCUAGCGUAGUUCGGAAUUACUGGGCUUAAAGAGUUCGUAGGUGGUUAAAAAAGUUGGUGGUGAAAUCCCAGAGCUUAACUCUGGAACUGCCAUCAAAACUUUUUAGCUAGAGUAUGAUAGAGGAAAGCAGAAUUUCUAGUGUAGAGGUGAAAUUCGUAGAUAUUAGAAAGAAUACCAAUUGCGAAGGCAGCUUUCUGGAUCAUUACUGACACUGAGGAACGAAAGCAUGGGUAGCGAAGAGGAUUAGAUACCCUCGUAGUCCAUGCCGUAAACGAUGUGUGUUAGACGUUGGAAAUUUAUUUUCUGUGUCGCAGCGAAAGCAAUAAACACACCGCCUGGGGAGUACGACCGCAAGGUUAAAACUCAAAUGAAUUGACGGGGACCCGCACAAGUAGUGGAGCAUGUGGUUUAAUUCGAAGAUACGCGCAGAACCUUACCAACACUUGACAUGUUCGUCGCGACUUUAAGAGAUUAAAGUUUUCGGUUCGGCCGGACGAAACACAGGUGCUGCAUGGCUGUCGUCAGCUCGUGUCGUGAGAUGUUGGGUUAAGUCCCGCAACGAGCGCAACCCUCACUUUUAGUUGCCAUCAUUAAGUUGGGCACUCUGAAAGAACUGCCAGUGAUAAGCUGGAGGAAGGUGGGGAUGACGUCAAGUCCUCAUGGCCCUUACGUGUUGGGCUACACACGUGCUACAAUGGCAUUUACAAUAGGAAGCAAGACGGCGACGUUAAGCAAAUCCUAAAAAAAUGCCUCAGUUCGGAUUGUACUCUGCAACUCGAGUACAUGAAGCUGGAAUUACUAGUAAUCGCGGAUCAGCGCGCCGCGGUGAAUACGUUCCCGGGUCUUGUACACACCGCCCGUCACACCAUGGGAGUUGGUUCUACCUUAAGGCAAAGUUUAAUACCUUUGACCACGGUAUAGUCAG